AGGCCACUGCUAUCGGAGUUCGAUUAAGCCAUGCGAGUCGAGAGGUGCAAGACCUCGGCAUACUGCUCAGUAACACGUGGACAACCUACCCUAAGGAGGGGGAUAACCCCGGGAAACUGGGGAUAAUACCCCAUAGAUUAUGGAUGCUGGAAUGCUCUGUAGUUGAAAGGUCCGCCGCCUUAGGAUGGGUCUGCGGCCGAUUAGGUUGUUGUUGGGGUAACGGCCCAACAAGCCCGUAAUCGGUACGGGUUGUGGGAGCAAGAGCCCGGAGAUGGAUUCUGAGACACGAAUCCAGGCCCUACGGGGCGCAGCAGGCGCGAAAACUUUACAAUGCGGGAAACCGUGAUAAGGGAACUCCGAGUGCCCGUUAAAUCGGGCUGUCCACCAGUUUAAACAACUGGUGAAGAAAGGGCCGGGCAAGACCGGUGCCAGCCGCCGCGGUAAUACCGGCGGCUCGAGUGGUGGCCACUAUUACUGGGCUUAAAGCGUUCGUAGCUGGUCUGUUAAGUCUCUGGGGAAAUCUGCCGGCUUAACCGGCAGGCGUCUCAGGGAUACUGGCAGACUAGGGACCGGGAGAGGUGAGGGGUACUCCAGGGGUAGGAGUGAAAUCCUGUAAUCCUUGGGGGACCACCUGUGGCGAAGGCGCCUCACCAGAACGGCUCCGACAGUGAGGGACGAAAGCUGGGGGAGCAAACCGGAUUAGAUACCCGGGUAGUCCCAGCUGUAAACGAUGCGCGUUAGGUGUAUCGGUGACCACGAGUCACCGAGGUGCCGAAGAGAAAUCGUGAAACGUGCCGCCUGGGAAGUACGGUCGCAAGGCUGAAACUUAA
RNAcentral lists this ribosomal RNA (830 nucleotides) under uncultured archaeon. RNAcentral describes it as "bacterial SSU rRNA". It matches the Rfam family "Archaeal small subunit ribosomal RNA", at positions 21 to 859 of the family's 1478-position model. The record is from RNAcentral.